RNAcentral lists this ribosomal RNA (201 nucleotides) under uncultured bacterium. RNAcentral's name for it is "partial 16S ribosomal RNA". It matches the Rfam family "Bacterial small subunit ribosomal RNA", at positions 328 to 539 of the family's 1533-position model. The record is from RNAcentral.
ACGCUCGACACCUACGGGAGGCAACAGUCGGGAAUAUUGCGCAAUGGAGGAAACUCUGACGCAGUGACGCCGCGUGCAGGAAGAAGGUUUUCGGAUUGUAAACUGCUUUAGACAGGGAAGAAAGAAAUGACAGUACCUGUAGAAUAAGCUCCGGCUAACUACGUGGCAGCAGCCGCGGUAAUCUGAGCGGGCUGGCAAGGC